GUACAGAAUUGAGGGACUGUCGACAAUGUUUUAUCAUUGUUCUUGGUUUACAGACGUUACCCGUAAAUAAACUGGACCCCUGUUGUGUUUAUUUAUCGCUGCACUGAGCCUCCUGCACUACGAUGGAAUGGCGGACCAGUUUAAACAUGCCCCAGAAUGGUCAGAACAGUGGCAAAAGACUAAUCCAGAUUACCAAAAAAUAGAAAUUGUUCAGCUACCAUUCAUGCCAUAAGCAUGAUAAGAAAAAUUUUGCAGUUUCCAGAAUUUGAGGUAAUCAAGAUUUAGUGUUUCCAUGCAAGUGUCAAAGAUUGAACGACAAAACAUCUAAAACUUUACAGGACAGAGUAGACUUUUUUCACUGUGCUUCAUUUUGUCUUUAUGUCUAAAUAAUGAUACAUUUUAAAAAACCAAUAAAAUAUGGAAUAAAAAAGAUUGUUAUCUUAUAAAAUGGAGUGAAGAAAUAAGGG
Long non-coding RNA from Mytilus californianus (California mussel), 467 nucleotides. RefSeq lists it as uncharacterized. The transcript has 3 exons. NCBI's taxonomy places the organism in Eukaryota, Metazoa, Mollusca, Bivalvia, Mytilida, Mytilidae. The record is from RefSeq and is a predicted model, not a curated record.